RNAcentral lists this ribosomal RNA (468 nucleotides) under uncultured bacterium. RNAcentral describes it as "partial 16S ribosomal RNA". It matches the Rfam family "Bacterial small subunit ribosomal RNA", at positions 28 to 507 of the family's 1533-position model. The record is from RNAcentral.
GACGAACGCUGGCGGCGUGCUUAACACAUGCAAGUCGAACGGAAAGGCCCUGCUUUUGUGGGGUGCUCGAGUGGCGAACGGGUGAGUAACACGUGAGUAACCUGCCCCUGACUUUGGGAUAACUUCAGGAAACUGGGGCUAAUACCGGCUAGGAGCUCCUGCUGCAUGGUGGGGGUUGAAACGUUUCGGCGGUUGGGGAUGGACUCGCGGCUUAUCAGCUUGUUGGUGGGGUAGUGGCUUACCAAGGCUUUGACGGGUAGCCGGCCUGAGAGGGUGACCGGCCACAUUGGGACUGAGAUACGGCCCAGACUCCUACGGGAGGCAGCAGUGGGGAAUAUUGCACAAUGGGCGGAAGCCUGAUGCAGCAACGCCGCGUGCGGGAUGACGGCCUUCGGGUUGUAAACCGCUUUCGCCUGUGACGAAGCGUGAGUGACGGUAAUGGGUAAAGAAGCACCGGCUAACUACGUG